RNAcentral lists this ribosomal RNA (768 nucleotides) under uncultured bacterium. RNAcentral's name for it is "bacterial SSU rRNA". It matches the Rfam family "Bacterial small subunit ribosomal RNA", at positions 28 to 776 of the family's 1533-position model. The record is from RNAcentral.
GACGAACGCUGGCGGCGUGCCUAAUACAUGCAAGUCGAGCGAAGUUUUUCUGGUGCUUGCACUAGAAAAACUUAGCGGCGAACGGGUGAGUAACACGUAAAGAACCUGCCUCAUAGACUGGGACAACUAUUGGAAACGAUAGCUAAUACCGGAUAACAGUAUUUCUCGCAUGAGAGAUAUUUAAAAGUUGGUUAUGCUAACACUAUGAGAUGGCUUUGCGGUGCAUUAGCUAGUUGGUGGGGUAAAGGCCUACCAAGGCGACGAUGCAUAGCCGACCUGAGAGGGUGAUCGGCCACACUGGGACUGAGACACGGCCCAGACUCCUACGGGAGGCAGCAGUAGGGAAUCUUCCGCAAUGGGCGAAAGCCUGACGGAGCAACGCUGCGUGAGUGAAGAAGGAUUUCGGUUCGUAAAGCUCUGUUGUUAGGGAAGAAUGGAUAUGUAGUAACUAUACAUGUAAGAGACGGUACCUAACCAGAAAGCCACGGCUAACUACGUGCCAGCAGCCGCGGUAAUACGUAGGUGGCAAGCGUUGUCCGGAAUUAUUGGGCGUAAAGCGCGCGCAGGUGGUUUAAUAAGUCUGAUGUGAAAGCCCACGGCUCAACCGUGGAGGGUCAUUGGAAACUGUUAAACUUGAGUGCAGGAGAGAAAAGUGGAAUUCCUAGUGUAGCGGUGAAAUGCGUAGAGAUUAGGAGGAACACCAGUGACGAAGGCGGCUUUUUGGCCUGUAACUGACACUGAGGCGCGAAAGCGUGGGGAGCAAACAGG